This 45-nucleotide non-coding RNA is filed under the name Schistosoma mansoni. The record is from RNAcentral. Lineage: Eukaryota; Metazoa; Platyhelminthes; Trematoda; Strigeidida; Schistosomatidae.
AUCCAGCUGACGAGUUCAAAAUAAGACGGAACGCGCAUUCUGCAU